CUUAUAAUCCUCCAAGACAGAUUCUGGAUGAGUUAAAGAUCAAAUUAUAUCAAACUAACUUGAAGACAAAUACAAGUCCUCUAAAAUAUUUAGAGAAAAGGAAAUAUCAUGGGAUAGAUAUAUGAUGUUAGAGUAGUGGGGAGUUACAAAACUGACUAUUUUUAUGCAUCGUGGUGCAGUGACACAUGUCUCAAAAUGCUUCUCUGGGUUUUGAUAUCAAGGUUCUAUAUCAGCCUCACAAACUGAUUUGGGUGUCUCCCCUUUCUUUCAAUUAUCUAGAAUAAAUUGGAUUAGAUUGGGAUUUCUUUAUCCUUGAAUCUAUAAGGAUAGCCAAGAAGCCAUUUGUAAUUCAGACUCCUUUUCCAUUUGCCCCUUAUAUUUUUUGUAGAGAGUUGGAGAAAUAGGAAGAUUUUAUAAUGUUACUGCAGGAAUGAUUGGUAUAAGCUGAAUUCUCUUUUCACCUGUUUUAGUGGAGAUGUCUCUCACUUGCUACCUCUUCGGCCCCACUCUGUGAAUCUCAGUCUAGCAACGGCGCUGCCAUUAUGGAGCUCAAAACAAGAUCUGGAAGCACUGAGAGAAAUCUCAAAAUAAUUCCACCACAGGACAGUGGUUUCCUGAACACGAACGAUAUCAAGGCACUACCCACUCAAGCUGAGGGUCUGUUUCUUGCAUGACCUCUGAAUUACUCCAAAUAUAAUCUGGCCAGCACUAACACAGUUAGGGAAGCAGAGAACGAUAGUGGCUGAGUAAGAUGCUCCAGUGGUUGUCUCUUCAGAGAACCAAUUUGAAUCAUUAUUGAAGCACCAAGUCUCACCUUCACAAGAACAAUGAAGGCCAGGUAAGAGGCCACAGUGCCUGGUUUUAGUAUAACAAUAAGAAAAGAUGUGUUGAUGUAAGCAGAAAAGAGUUGCCUGCAUCACCUCUCUGGAGCUCCAAGUAGCACAGCAUAGAGAGUGAUGCCUGGCCUCCACCUUGGAGAGGAAAAGGGAAUUAAGUCCAGACCUUACACUUGAAACCCAGUACCAGGCUCACCAUGAUGCAAACCAGUGCCAAACAGGGCCCCAGGUCUGUACCUGUAGACUGAGUCUUUGGAUCUUCCCUAGCCAGGUAAGUAAGGGACUGACCCUACCACCUGUCUCAACCUCUGGUAGACCGCAGAGAAAGAAUCUAGUCACUGGAGAACAGGACAGUAAGAGAACUUAGGACCUUACCAUGGAACUCAGAGCCAGGCCCACGACUGUAAGAUCCCACAUGUGAAAAAGUACAAAGCCCUCUACCCUUGCCCGGUGCUCACAGACAGAGUUGUAUGUGUAUCACUGCUUAUCUUGUUGGGAAGGCCCCGAAAUAUCAGAAGGUAGAAAAUUAAUUGGCAAGAAUCACUGUAUAGUCAUAUUCAGAAUGCUCUGAUACUAUAAGCCAGCGCCUGUGGGUGGAGCCUGCAGACUUGGCUAGGAUUUUGAGAUCUGAACUCUGGUUGACAAACUCGUUUUUAGUGUGCCUCAUCAGCAGCCUCCUGUGCACCCCUUAGAUGGCACAGGACCUGGUGAGUGUGAAACCUAGGUGUGACCUAGCUGAGUUCUAGUCUGGGUGGCCAAGAAGCUGCUUUUAUCACCCUUUUUGCACAGGAUUGGGUAUUGGGACUUGGGGC
Oryctolagus cuniculus (rabbit) is the source of this 1648-nucleotide long non-coding RNA. NCBI's taxonomy places the organism in Eukaryota, Metazoa, Chordata, Mammalia, Lagomorpha, Leporidae. The record is from Ensembl.